Molecule: transfer RNA, 89 nt
Filed under: Serratia marcescens
Lineage: Bacteria; Pseudomonadati; Pseudomonadota; Gammaproteobacteria; Enterobacterales; Yersiniaceae
Description: tRNA-Leu
Source: RNAcentral
UGUGGUGUAACUCAAUUCCCGCUUGCGGGUUAGAUGGGUAGAGUAAGGCAUCAACAACCUGAGUGCGGGUUCGAUUCCCGCCACCACAC